AGGGCUUUAGCUUAAUUAAAGUGUCUGCUUUGCAUGCAGAAGAUGUGGGUUAAUGACCUGUAAGUCUUA
Molecule: transfer RNA, 69 nt
Filed under: Raddaella batesii
Lineage: Eukaryota; Metazoa; Chordata; Actinopteri; Cyprinodontiformes; Nothobranchiidae
Description: tRNA-Ala
Rfam family: tRNA
About the family: Transfer RNA (tRNA) molecules are approximately 80 nucleotides in length. Their secondary structure includes four short double-helical elements and three loops (D, anti-codon, and T loops).
Source: RNAcentral